Homo sapiens (human) is the source of this 606-nucleotide long non-coding RNA. Ensembl annotates it as IL12A antisense RNA 1. Its record names the gene IL12A-AS1. Lineage: Eukaryota; Metazoa; Chordata; Mammalia; Primates; Hominidae. The record is from Ensembl.
CAUCUUCACUAAAGGGCGCUGUGGAAACGCUGCCUGAGAUGCAGACACCUGUCAGAAGGGGGCUAAAUUUCAAACAAGGAACGUGGUGUUGCAUCACAAUAAAUAGAUACGGGGUUUCACCGUGUUAGCCAGGAUGGUCUCGAUCUCCUGACUUCAUGAUUCACAUGCCUCGGCCUCCCAAAGUGCUGGGAUUACAGAACAGAAGAAACACACGUGUUCUUGUGUGUAAACCCAGUCCAUGGAAGAGACCGUCUGCUUGUCCCUCCUGAUCUCUGGGCCCAGACAACCAGUAGUCACCAUUCCAAGUGAGGGGUGGCUGCAACUCUACAGCCCCGUUCGUCUCUCCUCACUGUCAAAGCUGCUGAGACCCCAGACUCGACACUUGAAAGAAACCCAUGUCUGUGAAGCACUUGUGGACCAUUCAAGAUUGUGGAAGAAUCACUCAAGAGAAGGAGAUAGGAGACGGCUGCUGCUGUUCCAGUCUCUCCUUAGGCAGACUUGAGUUUCUACCCACUCUUCCCAAGCAGCCGCCCCUCCGCACCCGAGCGAGCCAAAGACCUGGCGGGCUGAGUACUCACUGCGCGCUGGACACAUGCUGAGCCGGCA